CGCACGCGUUGCCUCGCCGCGCGCACACAAAAGCACGCUCAUCCGCUGACUGGACAGGCUCAAUGACCACGCAGGAUGAGGGGGCAGAGCCGCAGUGGACUCUCCUGGUGUGCAUGCCCGAGUGCCAGGCAGCGCACGCCAGCAUCGUGCGUGAGCUGCGCGAUGCUGGCGUCGACGUUGUAGAACGCCGAUUUGUACUGACACCCGAUCAGGCCCUCACCAUCGCCCAACAAUACGCGCACCUGCGGCGGCGCGCGGCAGCGCGUCAGUUCUCCACGAGCACCGCCGCGGAGGCAGAGGCCGUCAAGACAUCAUCCCAGCCGUUCCUGUCGGAAGCGCGGCACCGGCUAUGGUCAGAGACGCUGUCUCAGCAACAACCCCAGCAGGGGCAGCACCCCCAGUCGCAGCAACAGGUGGAGUCGCGAGCCGUGAGCGGCCAGCUGCUGGACAGCAUCAUGCGCCUCGCUCAAGGGCAUCGAGCGCAUCAACAAUCAGGGCCCUCGCGCGUCCCCAGUCCUGGCAAGGGGGCGGAUGGCGCUUGCGAGGUGGCACCGCGGCCAUCGCUCUCUGCACUGCUUUCUCUCCGAGGAAAACGGACGGGUAGCGACGGCGCGAGCUCUGAGCCGACGUUAUCUAGCGAGCACACCGCUCACACAGCUUCGAGCGCUGCUAUUACGGACACAACUGCAGCCGGGACAGUCACACCGGCACUAUACCAGCGCUCUCUUCCCGGCGCGCUCUCCUCGUCGUCGGCCACAGCAUCGCCGAAGCUCUGCACCCCUGCCAAGGAUAGUCACAUGUUCAUUACAGAUCCGCAGGUCUGGCAGCAGGUAGCGUCUCUCCUGCAGGGGGGCACCGUGUUGGUGCUGCUCUUGCGCGCCGUCAACGCUGUCGAGCGACUGGUGCGCCUGGCUGGCCCGCAGGAUCCUCUCGAGGCACGGCGCGUUGUACCGGGAUCCUGGUCUGCUCGCUACGGUGUCGACGAAGCACGAAUGGGCGUGUACACGCCUAGCAACCUUGCAGAUGCCCGGGUCGCCGUAGAAGCUGUCUUUGGCGGGGCGUACGCGGACGAGACAGCCCACGGCAAACCCCGGCUGUCAUUGGAGCGGGAAGCAUACGAGGUCGCCAGGGCAUCGCCAGCCACGGAAGACUCACCGGCGACCCCGUUGAGUUUUGCGCAAAUCCUCCCCACGCUUCGCGCCGGGGUGCCAGCCGCACAGCGCAUUUCUUACUACACCGGCGUGCAAGGGCCCACUGCGUCGGCUGCGACAACGUUCGCCACUAUCCCGACUGCGGCGGCAGAGGGGAUCGAUGCCGUGGCCCCUGCAGAGCAAGCAGCCACCGACGCCGAUGGGAGCAUGAUGCCCGCCGUGGCGAUGGGUCCCGACCCCGCCGUAUGCCCGAGUGCCACCCCACAGUACCCGCAGCGCCAAGAGAGGCUUGGCGAGCUGGAUGACUUGUUGCGUGGCCACGUAGGCUGCUGGCCCUCCACGCACACGCACGCUCGUAUGCGUGUGCGUGUGCGUUCCUCCAUCGGGGUACAAGCAGACGUCGACGAGAGGAAGAGCGAGUAAGGAUGUACACAAUUUGAACCGAAACAAGGGAUGCCAUACCCUCUCCCCCACCACCGCCACCACUACUGCUGCGGGAUGGGGAGGGGGAGGUGUGCAGAUGGAGGAGAGGGCCGGCGCUGCUUGCGUGUAGCAGCGUGUCUCGCUCUCGCCCUUCUCCUUCAGCACCCCCUCCCUCCCUCCCCCAUCCACUCCGGCGAAUCUCACAAGACAAUG
RNAcentral lists this unclassified non-coding RNA (1787 nucleotides) under Leishmania donovani. RNAcentral's name for it is "gene:LdHU3.10.1520(CDS-product:hypothetical_prote in)". Lineage: Eukaryota; Euglenozoa; Kinetoplastea; Trypanosomatida; Trypanosomatidae. The record is from RNAcentral.